CAGUAGCCGCGGUAAUACGUAGGGUGCAAGCGUUGUCCGGAAUUAUUGGGCGUAAAGAGCUCGUAGGCGGUCUGUCACGUCGGCUGUGAAAACCUGGGGCUCAACCCCGGGCCUGCAGCCGAUACGGGCAGACUAGAAUUCGGUAGGGGAGACUGGAAUUCCUGGUGUAGCGGUGAAAUGCGCAGAUAUCAGGAGGAACACCGGUGGCGAAGGCGGGUCUCUGGGCCGAUAUUGAUGCUGAGGAGCGAAAGCGUGGGGAGCGAACAGGAUUAGAUACCCGAGUAGUCCCUGUCUCUUAUAC
RNAcentral lists this ribosomal RNA (301 nucleotides) under uncultured bacterium. Its description in RNAcentral is "partial 16S ribosomal RNA". It matches the Rfam family "Bacterial small subunit ribosomal RNA", at positions 509 to 807 of the family's 1533-position model. The record is from RNAcentral.